CUGACUAACCCAACACCUUAUUGAGACUUGUUGAUCAGCCUGACUAACCCAACACCUUAUUGAGACUUGCUGAUCAGUCUGACUAACCCAACACCUUAUUGAGACUUGUUGAUCCCAACACCUUAUUGAGACUUGUUGAUCCCAACACCUUAUUGAGACUUUCUGAUCAGUCUGACUAACCCAACACCUUAUUGAGACUUGUUGAUCAGCCUGACUAACCCAACACCUUAUUGAGACUUGCUGAUCAGUCUGACUAACCCAACACCUUAUUGAGACUUGUUGAUCCCAACACCUUAUUGAGACUUGUUGAUCCCAACACCUUAUUGAGACUUGCUGAUCAGCCUGACUAACCCAAUAGCGUAUGGCUCCAGAGGUUCAAUAAUAUAAUAACACCUACUAACCAACAGAUAAAGUGCCAACAAGGAAAAAGUUGUCUCUGCUCAACGCAGAAGGCUACAGUCAAAUUAUCCUAUAUUUGGCCCAAAUGGCACCCUAUUCCCUAUAAAGUGCACUACUUUUGAACAGAGCACUAUGGGACCUGGUCAAAAGUAGUGCACUAUGUAGGGAAUAGGGUGCCAUUUGGGAUUUAACCAGAAGGAUAUAACAAUGUGUAUUACAUUCAUUUAAAUAAAGCAAGCCAGCCAGGUCUCUCCCUAGGCUAGUUACAGGUUACAGACAACAUGUCUCUCCCCAGGCUAGUUACAGGUUACAGACAACAUGUCUCUCCCCAGGCUAGUUACAGGUUACAGACAACAUGUCUCUCCCCAGGCUAGUUACAGGUUACAGACAACAUGUCUCUCCCUAGGCUAGUUACAGGUUACAGACAACAUGUCUCUCCCCAGGCUAGUUACAGGUUACAGACAACAUGUCUCUCCCUAGGCUAGUUACAGGUUACAGACAACAUGUCUCUCCCUAGGCUAGUUACAGGUUACAGACAACAUGUCUCUCCCUAGGCUAGUUACAGGUUACAGACAACAUGUCUCUCCCUAGGCUAGUUACAGGUUACAGACAACAUGUCCCUCCCCAGGCUAGUUACAGGUUACAGACAACAUGUCUCUCCCUAGGCUAGAUACAGGUUACAGACAACAUGUCUCUCCCUAGGCUAGUUACAGGUUACAGACAACAUGUCUCUCCCCAGGCUAGUUACAGGUUACAGACAACAUGUCUCUCCCCAGGCUAGUUACAGGUUACAGACAACAUGUCUCUCCCUAGGCUAGAUACAGGUUACAGACAACAUGUCUCUCCCCAGGCUAGUUACAGUUUACAGACAACAUGUCUCUCCCUAGGCUAGUUACAGGUUACAGACAACAUGUCUCUCCCCAGGCUAGUUACAGGUUACAGACAACAUGUCUCUCCCCAGGCUAGUUACAGGUUACAGACAACAUGUCUCUCACUAGGCUAGUUACAGGUUACAGACAACAUGUCUCUCCCUAGGCUAGUUACAGGUUACAGACAACAUGUCUCUCCCCAGGCUAGUUAUAGGUUACAGACAACAUGUCUCUCCCAGGCUAGUUAUAGGUUACAGACAACAUGUCUCUCCCAGGCUAGUUAUAGGUUACAGACAACAUGUCUCUCACUAGGCUAGUUACAGGUUACAGACAACAUGUCUCUCCCUAGGCUAGUUACAGGUUACAGACAACAUGUCUCUCCCCAGGCUAGUUAUAGGUUACAGACAACAUGUCUCUCCCUAGGCUAGUUACAGGUUACAGACAACAUGUCUCUCCCUAGGCUAGUUACAGGUUACAGACAACAUGUCUCUCCCCAGGCUAGUUACAGGUUACAGACAACAUGUCUCUCCCCAGGCUAGUUACAGGUUACAGACAACAUGUCUCUCCCCAGGCUAGUUACAGGUUACAGACAACAUGUCUCUCCCAGGCUAGUUACAGGUUACAGACAACAUGUCUCUCCCCAGGCUAGUUACAGGUUACAGACAACAUGUCUCUCCCCAGGCUAGUUACAGGUUACAGACAACAUGUCUCUCCCUAGGCUAGUUACAGGUUACAGACAACAUGUCUCUCCCCAGGCUAGUUAUAGGUUACAGACAACAUGUCUCUCCCCAGGCUAGUUAUAGGUUACAGACAUGUCUCUCACUAGGCUAGUUACAGGUUACAGACAACAGACUGCCACACAGGGCUUGGGUCAAGAGAAGUGUGGUGUAGGAUGCCGUUUGAGGUGUGGCACUAUGGAAAGCAGCAUCUGGGAGGUCAAGGGUCAAAGGCCACCCAGGCAGAGGUCAAGGGUGGGUGACCUCACUCUCUUUACCACUACUCAACGUAGAGGGGGGCGGGAUCUGACUGAUGGGACAGGUUUCUCCAGCUGACGUCUGUGAUUGGACAGAUAUCCAUUCACUCACUCCCUGUGGGGAUAACAUUGCACUGUCUGUCAAAUAAAUAUUCAACCAUAGUCCACCCGGUUCUAUUGGAGAUAAAAGAUCAGAACAUUCCGGUUACAUUGGAUAGAACAAAUUAGAAUAUUCUGAUUCUUUCCUCUGAUGGCAAUAAAGGCAAUCUGGGGCAGAGAAAAAACAAAAAGGACUCUUUUAUAGUCUCUUAACAGAGUACACUUUCAAAAGCACAAAAUGCCCAUUUAGAAUAAAAUAUUCAAAAAAAAUCCUAGGUGGUAUUCUGAGUCUGUUUGAGAGAGGAGAGCAGAUCAGAUGGCCUUCUGACUGAACUUCUGACUUCCCAGCAAACCGGAGCGGACAAAUUCUGCAAGAAUCCAGACACCCGUUUAAAGGAUAGUUGAACAAACAGAGUUUGGGAGAAACAGUAAGAGUUGUUGGAAGGGAUUUGUCCUGGAGAAGUCUUUAGUUAAGGGAGGGAGGGA
RNAcentral lists this long non-coding RNA (2826 nucleotides) under Salmo salar (Atlantic salmon). Its description in RNAcentral is "lncRNA (ENSSSAG00000099424.1, ENSSSAG00000113323.1)". Lineage: Eukaryota; Metazoa; Chordata; Actinopteri; Salmoniformes; Salmonidae. The record is from RNAcentral.